This 273-nucleotide ribosomal RNA is filed under the name uncultured bacterium. RNAcentral's name for it is "partial 16S ribosomal RNA". It matches the Rfam family "Bacterial small subunit ribosomal RNA", at positions 82 to 339 of the family's 1533-position model. The record is from RNAcentral.
CGGGAAGUGGAGAGCGGCGAACGGGUGAGUAACACGUAAGUAACCUACCCCUAAAUCUGGGACAACCUUUCUAACGAGGGGCUAAUACCGGAUGUGAUUAUAACAUCUCAUGUUGUAAUAAUUAAAGAUGACCUCUACUUGUAAGUUAUUGUUUAGGGAUGGGCUUGCGGACCAUUAGUUUGUUGGUGGGGUAAUGGCCUACCAAGACUACGAUGGUUAGCCGACCUGAGAGGGUGAUCGGCCACAUUGGGACUGAGAUACGGCCCAGACUCC